Long non-coding RNA from Octodon degus (degu), 478 nucleotides. RefSeq lists it as uncharacterized. The transcript is spliced from 3 exons. Lineage: Eukaryota; Metazoa; Chordata; Mammalia; Rodentia; Octodontidae. The record is from RefSeq and is a predicted model, not a curated record.
CCGCCUGAGGCAUGCCCACCUGUGCCACCAUCCUCGUAGGGCCGGCUGGGCCGCCCCAGGGCGCCGAGAGUCCGCCUGCGGGGUCCAGGACCUUGCUAGGUUGGAACUGGCUACCCAGCAAAACUCUCAGCAAUCCUGCUUCAGUCUCCUGAAUGCUGGCCUUUCAGGACAUCAGUCACAUGCAGCUGGGGCCCAGUAUAGGCCCUCCUUUACCCAUGAUGUCCUGUCUAAGGGCUGUGUCUGCGGAUGCAGACACACCUGGAUGUACUGGGUUUAGGACUCAGUAUACAAAUUAGAGGUGCGGCACGAUUCAAAACAAGACCUUUCCUAGCGUGGCCACAACCUGUCCUUUCAAGUUGCCCUCCCACUGCACCAGUAGCCUGCUGCUAGACCUGUCUCCCAGCCACCCGAACCCUGCCCCUUCCCUCCCCGGCAGUCUCUUUAUCCUCUGCCCUGUGCCAGUAGACACUCAGCCUUG